GGAUGAGGUGCGCCCUGACUUUCAUCGCUACCUCGCCACGGUCUGUACAACCGUUGAAGCCUGUUAAGGGCUUGGUGGGUUCGAUUCCUUCCCUCUCCGCCA
RNAcentral lists this transfer RNA (102 nucleotides) under Akkermansiaceae bacterium. RNAcentral describes it as "tRNA-Tyr". The record is from RNAcentral. Lineage: Bacteria; Pseudomonadati; Verrucomicrobiota; Verrucomicrobiia; Verrucomicrobiales; Akkermansiaceae.